GAUGAACGCUGGCGGCGUGCCUAAUACAUGCAAGUCGAGCGAACAGACGAGGAGCUUGCUCCUCUGACGUUAGCGGCGGACGGGUGAGUAACACGUGGAUAACCUACCUAUAAGACUGGGAUAACUUCGGGAAACCGGAGCUAAUACCGGAUAAUAUAUUGAACCGCAUGGUUCAAUAGUGAAAGACGGUUUUGCUGUCCCUUAUAGAUGGAUCCGCGCCGCAUUAGCUAGUUGGUAAGGUAACGGCUUACCAAGGCAACGAUGCGUAGCCGACCUGAGAGGGUGAUCGGCCACACUGGAACUGAGACACGGUCCAGACUCCUACGGGAGGCAGCAGUAGGGAAUAUUCCGCAAUGGGCGAAAGCCUGACGGAGCAACGCCGCGUGAGUGAUGAAGGUCUUCGGAUCGUAAAACUCUGUUAUUAGGGAAGAACAAAUGUGUAAGUAACUAUGCACGUCUUGACGGUACCUAAUCAGAAAGCCACGGCUAACUACGUG
RNAcentral lists this ribosomal RNA (497 nucleotides) under uncultured bacterium. RNAcentral describes it as "partial 16S ribosomal RNA". It matches the Rfam family "Bacterial small subunit ribosomal RNA", at positions 28 to 507 of the family's 1533-position model. The record is from RNAcentral.